CAUGAAGCUGGAAUUGCUAGUAAUGGCAGGUCAGCAUACUGCCGUGAAUACGUUCCCGGGCCUUGUACACACCGCCCGUCACACCAUGAGAGUUGGGAAUACCCGAAGCCUGUGAGCUAACUUAUAGAGGCAGCAGUCGAAGGUAGAAUCAAUGAUUGGGGUGAAGUCGUAACAAGGUAUC
This 181-nucleotide ribosomal RNA is filed under the name uncultured bacterium. Its description in RNAcentral is "partial 16S ribosomal RNA". It matches the Rfam family "Bacterial small subunit ribosomal RNA", at positions 1319 to 1500 of the family's 1533-position model. The record is from RNAcentral.